RNAcentral lists this ribosomal RNA (497 nucleotides) under uncultured bacterium. Its description in RNAcentral is "partial 16S ribosomal RNA". It matches the Rfam family "Bacterial small subunit ribosomal RNA", at positions 28 to 507 of the family's 1533-position model. The record is from RNAcentral.
GACGAACGCUGGCGGCGUGCCUAAUACAUGCAAGUUGAGCGCUGAAGGUUGGUACUUGUACCAACUGGAUGAGCAGCGAACGGGUGAGUAACGCGUGGGGAAUCUGCCUUUGAGCGGGGGACAACAUUUGGAAACGAAUGCUAAUACCGCAUAAAAACUUUAAACACAAGUUUUAAGUUUGAAAGAUGCAAUUGCAUCACUCAAAGAUGAUCCCGCGUUGUAUUAGCUAGUUGGUGAGGUAAAGGCUCACCAAGGCGAUGAUACAUAGCCGACCUGAGAGGGUGAUCGGCCAAAUUGGGACUGAGACACGGCCCAAACUCCUAAGGGAGGCAGCAGUAGGGAAUCUUCGGCAAUGGACGAAAGUCUGACCGAGCAACGCCGCGUGAGUGAAGAAGGUUUUCGGAUCGUAAAACUCUGUUGGUAGAGAAGAACGUUGGUGAGAGUGGAAAGCUCAUCAAGUGACGGUAACUACCCAGAAAGGGACGGCUAACUACGUG